RNAcentral lists this ribosomal RNA (253 nucleotides) under uncultured bacterium. RNAcentral's name for it is "partial 16S ribosomal RNA". It matches the Rfam family "Bacterial small subunit ribosomal RNA", at positions 524 to 776 of the family's 1533-position model. The record is from RNAcentral.
UACGUAGGGGGCAAGCGUUAUCCGGAUUUACUGGGUGUAAAGGGGGCGCAGACGGCAAUGCAAGCCAGGAGUGAAAGCCCGGGGCCCAACCCCGGGACUGCUCUUGGAACUGCAUGGCUGGAGUACAGGAGGGGCAGGCGGCAUUCCUAGUGUAGCGGUGAAAUGCGUAGAUAUUAGGAGGAACACCGGUGGCGAAGGCGGCCUGCUGGACUGUGACUGACGUUGAGGCCCGAAGGCGUGGGGAGCAAACAGG